Molecule: non-coding RNA, 338 nt
Organism: Dermatophagoides farinae (American house dust mite)
Lineage: Eukaryota; Metazoa; Arthropoda; Arachnida; Sarcoptiformes; Pyroglyphidae
Source: RefSeq, a predicted model, not a curated record
AAGCGGCAGCGUUCACAAAGUACGUUCGAGCUUGUAUCACUAUGGUGGAAUUCUGGACAUAAAAAUGGGAUGAAAUGUCGUCGAAUACGACUUUUCUUCAUUUCAAGAACAACGUGUGUGACUCAUCGGUUUGCGUUGUGCGUUAACACAUGUACGAGUAUAGACUAUAGUGUUACUGUAUCCAAUUUUGUAUAAAGGAUUCGUUGAGAGAAAAUCCGCUACAAAUCAAUCAAUGAGAAUAGCAACCAAGUGUAUACACUAAUUUUCUACGUGUUUUAUACAUGUUUUAAUUUAAUGAAUGGAUAAAUGGAUAAAUAAAUGCAACUGAUUUAUUAUGA